This 1538-nucleotide ribosomal RNA is filed under the name Anthracocystis andrewmitchellii. Its description in RNAcentral is "eukaryotic LSU rRNA". It matches the Rfam family "Eukaryotic large subunit ribosomal RNA", at positions 64 to 1109 of the family's 3401-position model. Lineage: Eukaryota; Fungi; Basidiomycota; Ustilaginomycetes; Ustilaginales; Ustilaginaceae. The record is from RNAcentral.
ACUAACAAGGAUUCCCCUAGUAACGGCGAGUGAAGAGGGAAGAGCCCAAGAUUGAAAGCUGGCGUCUUUGGCGUCCGCAUUGUAAUCUCAAGAAGUGUUUUCCGCUUCGGACCAUGCCUAAGUCCCUUGGAAAAGGGCAUCAUAGAGGGUGAUAAUCCCGUACAUGGCAUGGAGCGCCCGAGGCUUUGUGAUACGCUUUCUAAGAGUCGAGUUGUUUGGGAAUGCAGCUCAAAAUGGGUGGUAAAUGCCAUCUAAGGCUAAAUAUUGGGGAGAGACCGAUAGCGAACAAGUACAGUGAUGGAAAGAUGAAAAGAACUUUGAAAAGAGAGUUAAACAGUACGUGAAAUUGCCAAAAGGGAAGGGUAGGAGGUCAGAGAUGCGUCUUGGGAUUCAGCCUUGCUUCUGCUGGGUGUUUUUCCCAAGUUUGCAGGCCAACGUCGGUUUUGGGCACUGGAGAAGGGUGGAAGGAACGUGGCACCUCUCGAGGUGUGUUAUAGCCUUCCACUGGAUACAGCGACCGAGACCGAGGACAGCAGCGUACUCGCAAGAGCGGGCCUUCGGGCACCUUUACGCUUAGGGCGUUGGCAUAAUGGCCCUCUACCACCCGUCUUGAAACACGGACCAAGGAGUCUAACAUGUAUGCGAGUCUUUGGGUGGCAAACCCAUAGGCGCAAUGAAAGUGAAUUCAGGUGGGAUCCGCAAGGUGCACCAUCGACCGAUCCUCACGUCUUUCAAGUCGUGGAUUUGAGUAAGAGCAUACCUGUUGGGACCCGAAAGAUGGUGAACUAUGCCUGAAUAGGGUGAAGCCAGAGGAAACUCUGGUGGAGGCUCGUAGCGGUUCUGACGUGCAAAUCGAUCGUCAAAUUUGGGUAUAGGGGCGAAAGACUAAUCGAACCAUUAGAAAUUGCGUAAAAACAUUUCUACUGCGUCUCAAACGUAUGUGGGCGUUUUUUGAAUGCGGUAGAGUGUGGAUACAUUGCUAGGUGGUUAAGAGGUGGCUAAAAGGGCACACCUAGUGGGCGCUGAAGCUCGCGACACUGUCAAAAUGCGGGGACACCCUAAAGCUUUCAAUACCAAGCCGGCGUGGAAACACAGUCGGUGGCCGAGUUAACAACCCUGGGUAUGGUAAAAACUUGAAAGAUGCAACAAUGGGCAAUCCGCAGCCAAGCUCUAAGGGUGUAUCAAAACGCCUAUGAGUGCAGUUCACAGACUAGAUGGCAGUGGGUUUCGUCUUCGGAUGAGGCUUAAGAUAUAGUCGGUCCUCUCUCGAAAGGGAGCCGGAGGAUAAAAGAUCGAGGUUCUUCAGCAACAGACCUCUUUCCGGAGCCUCUGGGAAUUGAUUUUUCGCAAGGAAAAUCGAUUUUGGGUGCUACGCUAGUAGCUGGUUCCUGCCGAAGUUUCCCUCAGGAUAGCAGAAACUCACAUCAGUUUUAUGAGGUAAAGCGAAUGAUUAGAGGCCUUGGGGAAGUAACUUCCUUAACCUAUUCUCAAACUUUAAAUGUGUAAGAAGCCCUGUUACUUUAAGUGAACGAGGCAUG